This 2743-nucleotide long non-coding RNA is filed under the name Homo sapiens (human). RNAcentral describes it as "HSALNT0128124". The record is from RNAcentral. Lineage: Eukaryota; Metazoa; Chordata; Mammalia; Primates; Hominidae.
GAAAAUUACAAAGCAAAAGUUAUUUCUAUCAGUCAAAACAAACAGACAUACUGUAUUGGCUCAUCUUUCUAAUUGGUCAAAGAUGUUAGCAGGAAAGGAGUGUUAACAAAAAGUGUUGAGAACUAAAAUAUUGCCCAGAAAAAAUAAUAUUGGUUAUAAAACAAAUAUCAUUUGCCAAGGACAGCAGAGUAUAGAGGAGACAGGUGAGAGCAGUAUUUCUAAUCAGGAUGAGGGCUCAGAGUGUGAAUUCAUGAACUCAAACAUCAUACAACACUCAACGGAGAGAAUAAAACCCUCAAACAGCCCAUCCCACAUGGUUUACCACUGAUACAGUUUCUCUCCAUGACCAAACUCUGUUCAGGCUCCACUGAGUUCUUUUUCAACCGAACCUUGACGUUUGGACUUGGUGUUUGUCUCUGCAUUGUCCAAUUUUAGCAAGAAUCUUGGUAAGCUGGUAAGAAUGGUGAGAUUCCCCAUUCUUCAUACUUGAUCAUCCUUGAUAUCUAACUGGCUUCUUCCUUAUCCACCCAUCGUCCAGCUGACGUCUGAUCACCCUGGCCUGCCUUCAGUACGAAUCUUGUUAGGUAAGGUUUGAUAGAAUCCCAUCCCUCACCACUAUGUUUCCUCUUAAUGAUUUUCCAUCCUCUGACCCCCAACCUGUUCCUUGACUAUAAAUUCCCACUUGCCCGUGUUGUAUUCUGAAUUGAGCCUAAUCUGUCUCCCCCACUGCAAGACCACACUGCAGUGGCCUUAUUCCUAUCCCAAUAAUCCCUGCUGAAAUAAAGUUUUCCUUAUCGUUUUUUUUUGUUUUUUUUUUUUGAGACAGAGUCUCACUCUGUUGCCCAGGCUGGAGUGCAGUGGCACAAUCUAGGCUCACUGCAACCUUCACCGCCUAGGUUCACCUCCCAGGUUUAAGUGAUUCUCCUUCACCUCCCAGGUUUAAGUGAUUCUCCUGCCUCAGCCUCCCAAGUAGCUGGGACUACACACAUGCACCACAGCGUCCAGCUAAUUUUUGUAUUUUUAGUAGAGUUAGGGCUUCAUCAUGUUGGGCUGGUCUAGAACUCCUGACCACAAGUGAUCCACCCGCCCCAGCCUCCCAAAGUGUUGGGAAUACAGGCGUGAAUCACUGUAACCGGCUCCUUAUCUUGUCUUUAACAAGUGUCAUUAAAUGAUUUUUUUUUUCUUUAGCAACAUGAGCUACCCUCACUUUUAACCUGUAGGAGCACCUCUACAAGUCUGUUUACCUUCUGUGAGCACUGGUAACCCAUACACAUUUGUCAUCAUGGGGUUCUUUUUCCUGUAAGCCAAGACUCGGAGAAAAACGUCACAUCCCUUCAAAAUCACACCCCCUGUUGUUCCCAAUUUCCUCUAUUUGUCAAUGUUUUCUAGCAUUGGGAGAAGAAAUAAAUAAACUUCUAAAGAGGCAUAAAUGGGUUUGUCAAAGUGGAAAUUAUUAAGAAUAUUUAAAACUGUAACCCAACACAUGGAACACAGAAAGUCUGAGGGUCUAAAGGAAAAGUGUCCCAAAGGCACACAAGUGUGGAGGACAUGUCUGUGUCCAGCCCUUACAUAAAUCUGUGGGAAUACUACUUUUCUGAAGAAGCAGCCAAUAUAUUUGAACAGUAGUCUUUCUUCUAACUACUAGACAAAGAAAUGUGUCUCUGGAGGUAUAUUUUAGUUGACGUUCUGUCCCUCUUUGUUUUACAUUUUGAGUCAGUCCAUUUGAAGCAGGGCCUAUUGUGAGCCUGUUUACUUCCAUUUAUUUUUCUUGAGGUAGCACACAGAGGAGUAAAAUGGCAUUUCAGCCUUUUUGAGGGGCUACUUAUGCUAAGUUUCCUAUCUGAGACAGUAAGUGCUGCAACUAUUCUUUACAACUGUGUUUUCUUAUUCUCUUACAUAUGGAACCCCAAGAAGAGUUGAGGAAAGCUAUGGCUCUUAUUUCCUGGAAAAAAAAUGGAUAUAAAAUAUUGAAAACAAUUUUUGCAGUAUCAUUUUUUCCUUGAAGUCCAUCCAAGAAGAGCCCUGGUCCAUGGGCAAGAGGUUGAGUGUCCCAGCUCUAUAAAGACUUAUUUUCUAACUGCUGUCUUUUAUGUCUUUUAUUUAUGCUUCUCUUCUCCAGAUCAAGUCAAGACACUGCACUUCAGUAACUGAUAUGAUGAAAAACUCAGCAGGUUUCCAAAUGCGUCAUAAAAUAUUAUUGGGUCAGGGACCAUGCAGGCUACCAGAUGGUUGAGAAUGAUUUAUUUCCUUGACUUCAGACUACUGAAGAAUGAUUGCAGGAAAAAAGCCAGUUUUUAUCUCUGAGCUUACAGAAUAUGAAAGAUAAGAGAGACCUUGCGGUUCAUCUAGUCUGGAUUCAUUCUUAAUUUAAAAACCCAUUCUACACUACCAAUGACAUGGUUAUCUGACCUUGACUUCAAUAUUUUUAGUGAUGAGACACUCAUUAUUUUACAAGAUAACCUGUCUCACAAUUGGAUGGAUUUUGAUGAGCAAGGUCUUCCUUCUAUUGAUUCAAAAUUUCCUUCCUGUAACUUCUGGCCCUUGGAGCAACAACGUGUAAGUCUAGUUCCUGUUCUGAAUUAUGAACUUUGAAAUAUUUGAACACAUCUCAACUAUCUCCCUUCAGUGCUCUCAACUUCUGAAUAAACAUCCCAAAUACCUCCAGCUGUUCCUCACUUAUUUCUCCUUUUGGAACCCUCAUCUUCCUACUGAAUGAUCUCUGGACACACCGUAAUUAGGAAAC